UCCGGCUUAUCACCGGCAGUUUCUUUAGAGUGCUCAACUGAAUGGUAGCAACUAAAGACGAGGGUUGCGCUCGUUGCGGGACUUAACCCAACAUCUCACGACACGAGCUGACGACAGCCAUGCAGCACCUGUGUGCAGGUCUCUUGCGAGAAGGAAUCCAUCUCUGGAAGCCGUCCUGCCAUGUCAAGGGCUGGUAAGGUUCUGCGCGUUGCUUCGAAUUAAAGAACAUGCUCCGCUGCUUGUGCGGGCCCCCGUCAAUUCUUUUGAGUUUUAGCCUUGCGGCCGUACUCCCCAGGCGGAACACUUAACGCGUUGGCUGCGGCACCGAAGGAGUCGCUCCCCCCGGCACCUAGUGCCCAUCGUUUACGGCGUGGACUAC
Molecule: unclassified non-coding RNA, 379 nt
Filed under: uncultured bacterium
Lineage: Bacteria
Description: contains 16S-23S intergenic spacer region
Source: RNAcentral